GUCACUGGUAACUUCCGCACUCAAGGGGAGAUUACUCAAAAGGAGUGAGCACCAGGAGGAGAGAUCACACGUAGGCAAAUUAGAGUCUGCUUGUUACCUAUUCUGGAGCCAGACCACGGGGGUGCAAGUCUUGGACCUAUCACUUCUUGCCUGUGCUGUCUUAGCAAUUGGCCUGGCUUGAACAUUUUUUGGAACCAGAGCUUGAAAAACGAGAGUGAGUCAACACACAGAGUCAUUCCUCAGCUUUGAGGUCCUCAGAAAUCUGAAACCACAGACACUUUAUCACAAUCCAGUUCCAGAAUUUAGCCUUAAAACGAGAUGGUGUGUGAGCACCGCAGCUGGUUUCGCCACAUCUCUUAGAAUGGUGUCAGCGUCCUCCAAAAUGAACUGAGAAGUUCGCGGCCUGCUACCUGAUAUUUCUUAUCUCAAGUCUGAAGCAGACGUUACGAAAAGUGUGAAAAAUAAAAGGAAGAAGACUGCAUCUUGUUAGUGCUGGGGCAUGUUCUUACUUUUGUCUCCAAUACCAGUUUCAAAUUACUGUAUGAUUUUAGGUCCUCAGAAACCUGGAGCCAGUGACAAUUUACUGUGUCCAAGUUUAAGGGUUUUUAUUUUUAUUUUUUCCAGUACUGGGGAUUGAAUCCAAGGAGUGAGUUGCACCCCCUGGCUGCCCUUCACCCUAUGAUUUUCCUUUAGAGACAAUGUUUCACUGUGUUGUCCAGUCUGGCCUCCAACUCGAAGCAGUCCUCCUGCUUCAGCCUCCAGAGUAGCUGGGAUUACAGGUGUGUGCCACCGCACCCAGCUGAGGAUUUCUUCCUGAUUGGAACAAAACCAGGCAAUAUCGAGCUGGUCUGUGAACAGCCAACCCAGGAUGGUGAGUUGUAAAAUGCACAACCUGUAACAUGGCCCGCUCUGAGCACUGCAAAAGGCUGUGUGUACCCGACCCCUGGGCCCUGGGCUUCACCCCAUACCACUCAAACUUCAUCCGGGUUCAGAAAUGGGCCCGCCUCCUCUGCAUGGUCUCCAGCCCUGAUGAGGCACUCAUUCACUCCCGGACUAAGGAAUUAUGGGUGUCGCCUCCGCCUGGUGAGCUCACUUUCACUCUCUGCUUUUUUGUCAGCCUUCUACAAACCAGGAUGGUUUCAGCCGCAGUGCCAUAUGUGAGAGCACCCCAUGCCCUCACCUGUCCACAUUGGGCUGUGGGUUUCAUGGUGGCCCCAGAACCUUAGUGUACUUCACAAAUGGUAUGACUUAGGCCCUAGCAGAGGGCUUAGGGCCCUCCUCUUCCUUUGUAUUUUAACCUUUUUAUUUUCAAAUAAUUUAAAAACUAAGAAGUUGUAAGAAUUCCACAAAGAAGUGCGUCACAUGGUUAUGGUUGGUAGCUAGAGGUCCGCCUAAC
Long non-coding RNA from Chinchilla lanigera (long-tailed chinchilla), 1396 nucleotides. RefSeq lists it as uncharacterized. The transcript has 3 exons. The record is from RefSeq and is a predicted model, not a curated record. NCBI's taxonomy places the organism in Eukaryota, Metazoa, Chordata, Mammalia, Rodentia, Chinchillidae.